GAUGAACGCUGGCGGCGUGCCUAAUACAUGCAAGUCGAGCGAACAGACGAGGAGCUUGCUCCUCUGACGUUAGCGGCGGACGGGUGAGUAACACGUGGAUAACCUACCUAUAAGACUGGGAUAACUUCGGGAAACCGGAGCUAAUACCGGAUAAUAUAUUGAACCGCAUGGUUCAAUAGUGAAAGACGGUUUUGCUGUCACUUAUAGAUGGAUCCGCGCCGCAUUAGCUAGUUGGUAAGGUAACGGCUUACCAAGGCAACGAUGCGUAGCCGACCUGAGAGGGUGAUCAGCCACACAGGAACUGAGACACGGUCCAGACUCCUACGGGAGGCAGCAGUAGGGAAUCUUCCGCAAUGGGCGAAAGCAUGACGGAGCAACGCCGCGUGAGUGAUGAAGGUCUUCGGAUCGUAAAACUCUGUUAUUAGGGAAGAACAAAUGUGUAAGUAACUAUGCACGUCUUGACGGUACCUAAUCAGAAAGCCACGGCUAACUACGUG
Molecule: ribosomal RNA, 497 nt
Filed under: uncultured bacterium
Lineage: Bacteria
Description: partial 16S ribosomal RNA
Rfam family: Bacterial small subunit ribosomal RNA
Source: RNAcentral